AUAAUGAAGCCAUUUAUAUUAACCAUUUACACGGAUAAUGUCUUAGUUUAUGGUGCUCUGGCUGAAAAUGGUCGUCUUGCCAGUGUGGAUGGUGUCCUGAAUUCCUUUGGUGUCAUCAUGGCUGCUGUGAGAGGAGAAGUCAUUUGUGAAGUUACAACUGCCAAGCCUCUUGAUGCAGCCAUGAAGAAGGAAUUGGAGCAUCACUGAAGGCUUUCCUCAAGAAGGGCGAGUCCCUGCAGCUGACAAUGAAAGUGGGACCCAUCCAUCAUUGGCGGAAUGAUCGUCUCUAUUGGCGACAAGUAUGCCGACAUGUCCAUGGCAUCCAAAAUUAAGAAGUUCACAUCUCUUCUUGAACAAGCCGUUUAAUUUUUUUUCUUGUAUUUUUAUAUUCUAAAGAAAAUCAGAGCAUCAAGCUUUGAGUAACGAAAAAAUGUAGGAAGCUGACAUCUAGAUUUGUUACCACCAGUGGGAAUGUAAAUGUUCAAGUAAAUUGUGGUAACAAUGAAAACACAAGGAAUGCAUUCCAGGUGACCAAGUUAAGUUCGGAAUGUAAAAUGAAUGGAUUUGAGGUUGUUGCAACCCAGUGUUUCCAGUGGAACUGUACAAAAUGGAAAUAUUACUAUAUGUAAAUUAAAAAUUUUAUGUAAAUUGUAUUUAUUUCAAUCAGACCUUUCAUAUUUUACAUGAAAGUAAUUCUUCUGUCUUCAUCUGAAUGUUUCCCCUUAUUAAUAAACCAGUAUGGUUA
This is an RNA transcript of Penaeus monodon (black tiger shrimp), 745 nucleotides long. It is a transcript of the gene named ATP synthase subunit O, mitochondrial-like, with no coding region annotated. The record is from RefSeq and is a predicted model, not a curated record. Lineage: Eukaryota; Metazoa; Arthropoda; Malacostraca; Decapoda; Penaeidae. The transcript has 3 exons.